Molecule: transfer RNA, 72 nt
Filed under: Loxodonta africana (African savanna elephant)
Lineage: Eukaryota; Metazoa; Chordata; Mammalia; Proboscidea; Elephantidae
Rfam family: tRNA
About the family: Transfer RNA (tRNA) molecules are approximately 80 nucleotides in length.
Source: Rfam by way of RNAcentral
GCCCUGGUGGCACAAUGGUUAAGCACUGGGCUGCUAACCUAAAGGCUGAUGGUUCAAACCCAUCCAACAGCC